Molecule: small nucleolar RNA, 110 nt
Filed under: Amanita muscaria Koide BX008
Lineage: Eukaryota; Fungi; Basidiomycota; Agaricomycetes; Agaricales; Amanitaceae
Source: RNAcentral
UCGUGAUGAAUUUCUAGAUGACGAGUCUGAACCCUUGGGACGACGUUCCGUCGUUUUCACUGGAACGAGACGAUACAUAUUUUUCAAAUUCCAUUCAUGUUUUACUGAUC